AUGAACGCUGGCGGCGUGCCUAAUACAUGCAAGUCGAGCGAACAGAUGAGGAGCUUGCUCCUCUGACGUUAGCGGCGGACGGGUGAGUAACACGUGGAUAAUCUACCUAUAAGACUGGGAUAACUUCGGGAAACCGGAGCUAAUACCGGAUAAUAUAUUGAACCGCAUGGUUCAAUAGUGAAAGAUGGUUUUGCUGUCACUUAUAGAUGGAUCCGCGCCGCAUUAGCUAGUUGGUAAGGUAACGGCUUACCAAGGCAACGAUGCGUAGCCGACCUGAGAGGGUGAUCGGCCACACUGGAACUGAGACACGGUCCAGACUCCUACGGGAGGCAGCAGUAGGGAAUCUUCCGCAAUGGGCGAAAGCCUGACGGAGCAACGCCGCGUGAGUGAUGAAGGUCUUCGGAUCGUAAAACUCUGUUAUUAGGGAAGAACAAAUGUGUAAGUAACUAUGCACGUCUUGACGGUACCUAAUCAGAAAGCCACGGCUAACUACGUG
This 496-nucleotide ribosomal RNA is filed under the name uncultured bacterium. Its description in RNAcentral is "partial 16S ribosomal RNA". It matches the Rfam family "Bacterial small subunit ribosomal RNA", at positions 29 to 507 of the family's 1533-position model. The record is from RNAcentral.